CCUACGGGUGGCAGCAGUGAGGAAUAUUGGUCAAUGGGCUGACGCCUGAACCAGCCAAGUCGCGUGAGGGAAGACUGCCCUAUGGGUUGUAAACCUCUUUUGUCAGGGAGCAACGCCGGCUACGUGUAGCCGGCCUGAGAGUACCUGAAGAAAAAGCAUCGGCUACCUCCGUGCCAGCAGCCGCGGUAAUACGGGGGAUGCGAGCGUUAUCCGGAUUUAUUGGGUUUAAAGGGUGCGUAGGCGGAAUGCAAAGUCAGCGGGAAAAGCGCGGGGCUCAACCUCGAUCUGCCGUUGAUACUGGCGUUCUUGAGAGGGCGAGAAGUAGGCGGAAUGCGUGGUGUAGCGGUGAAAUGCAUAGAGAUCACGCAGAACUCCGAUUGCGAAGGCAGCAUACCGGCGCCCAACUGACGCUGAAGCACGAAAGCGUGGGUAGCGAACAGGAUUAGAUACCCGAGUAGUC
This 460-nucleotide ribosomal RNA is filed under the name uncultured bacterium. Its description in RNAcentral is "partial 16S ribosomal RNA". It matches the Rfam family "Bacterial small subunit ribosomal RNA", at positions 338 to 795 of the family's 1533-position model. The record is from RNAcentral.